UUCCAAAGGCAGACUCGGCUGUA
RNAcentral lists this small RNA (23 nucleotides) under Arabidopsis thaliana (thale cress). The record is from RNAcentral. Lineage: Eukaryota; Viridiplantae; Streptophyta; Magnoliopsida; Brassicales; Brassicaceae.